CCUACGGGAGGCAGCAGUGAGGAAUAUUGGUCAAUGGGCGCGAGCCUGAACCAGCCAAGUAGCGUGAAGGAUGACUGCCCUACGGGUUGUAAACUUCAUUUAUAAAGGAAUAAAGUGAGGCACGUGGGCCUUUUUGUAUGGACGUUAUGAAUAAGGAUCGGCUAACUCCGUGCCAGCAGCCGCGGUAAUACGGAGGAUCCGAGCGUUAUCCGGAUUUAGUGGGUUGAAAGGGAGCGUAGAUGGGUUGUUAAGUCAGUUGUGAACGUUUGCGGCUCAACCGUACAAUUGCCAUUGAUACUGGCAGCCUUGCGUACAGUUGCGGUCGGCGGACUUCGUGGUGUAGCGGU
This 347-nucleotide ribosomal RNA is filed under the name uncultured bacterium. RNAcentral describes it as "partial 16S ribosomal RNA". It matches the Rfam family "Bacterial small subunit ribosomal RNA", at positions 338 to 682 of the family's 1533-position model. The record is from RNAcentral.